UGCAUCUGCAGCCCAUGAGGAUGAGAACCUCCGGGGGCAGGGAGGUUCGACUCGAGCGAAGCGAGAGAACGUUGCGCCAGCAACGGCCCGCAGGGCGAGCCAUGAAGUGGCGAGUAAUCCUCUAUCACCGACCA
This 134-nucleotide small RNA is filed under the name Escherichia coli. RNAcentral describes it as "RtT sRNA". It matches the Rfam family "RtT RNA". From Rfam's summary of the family: This family represents a bacterial cis-regulatory element known as RtT RNA. The exact function of RtT is unknown although it is thought that it may be involved in changing the cellular response in relation to amino acid starvation. The record is from RNAcentral. Lineage: Bacteria; Pseudomonadati; Pseudomonadota; Gammaproteobacteria; Enterobacterales; Enterobacteriaceae.